Non-coding RNA from Mus caroli (Ryukyu mouse), 923 nucleotides. The record is from RefSeq and is a predicted model, not a curated record. NCBI's taxonomy places the organism in Eukaryota, Metazoa, Chordata, Mammalia, Rodentia, Muridae.
GUCACCUUGUUCUCUCCUCUAGCAAGUGACGCCCAAUUCAUUAAAAGAAGUUAGUUGAUGUCCCAGAGCAAGAAGUGAAGAAGGCUUGCUGGGCUUGACUUCUGGAUAUUAGAGGUAGAGGAAGACUAGAAGAAUGCCAUUCUCCACUUCAGAUAUGAAGAGCUCCUCAGAACAAUGGCUUCCUGAAGGCACAUGGGUUUGUAGAGCCAAACCCAAGUCAGAAGAGGAUUUCAAAAGGCAUGGACCACUUUGUAGAAUCAUCUCUACCUGGGAUCUGUAGCACUAAGGACUCUCUAGUCAAUCUAGAGAGGUCUAUAUCAAAGACCCAGCUAUCAUCUUGCUCUAUGCUAAACAGUGAAGCCAUUUGGCCUCAAGAUUAAAUGGAGUGCUAGUUACAAUGACAACUAUAAAACAUUCACAUGUUUCAUUUUGUCUUGUUGUUUCCCAAGCAGGGCUUUUCCUAUUCCUAGUGUUCCACAUUUUCUAUAUAAUGAGGGGUGACUUCCAGAAUUGGCAAGAAUCUUCAGGACAUAGUAACAGUUCUCAUACAGAAGACUGCUUGUAGCAUUUCUAUAGAGCACCUUCAGCUGCAAGACUGGGAUCAUCUUCCCUAGUGGAUAAGAACCAUGAUUUGCCAUUUUACUUCAUCUCUCAAAUUAACACAGCCCGGAGUUAUAUGAGGGAGUUUCAGUUGGGAACAUUGAAAGUGCAAAAACAAACUGUUAAGAACACAAGGACAGUUGACCGGAGUAGCAGAUUGAUUGCAUCUGUCCAGGCCAGAGUUAGGAGGCCACUAGUGAGCAAGAGGGGAUGGCCAGAAGCCACAAUUAUCUGGCAGUACAGACUAACUCAGAAAUAGAAAGAAACAAAGGAUAUAUAAAGGUGAGAAUCUGAGUGGCUGGGUCUGGGGCAGGAAGAAAGGG